CGCGGCAGCAGCGCAGACGACAUGGACAGCUUGUGAUAGGCCCCUAAUCGAAGUUUUGUUUAAUUUCGACAUGCACGUUACCCCAGUAUGGAGGAUGACCCAUAUGAAGAUGAAAGUUGUCCUGACUUUGAGCCAGCAGUCCAGUCUACUGGUCCGUCAGAAGCAGUGUUGUGUGUUCAGAGAAUGCUUGGAGAACAACUUGACACUAACAUUUCUUUAGAACAGCAAGCUUCUAAAAGCAGGUCAUUCACCCAGGCUGCUGCAACCUUCAGACCUUUUGUCGAGCAGGCCAGCGGUCAAUUAUCCCUGGAGGAGUUUCAGGCCCUUGAGAGAGAGCACGAGGGACUUGAGAAGCUAAGAGCAUGCGGUCUGAGCGAUGAAGAAAUUGCCCUCAAAUUGGAGCAUGAGGGCAGACACCUGUCUAACCUCCUUUAUCCUCACAAGCGCCAUCGUUCCAUUGCUGAUCCGGUUGCUAGGCUGAAACGUCUCAAGGAAGUGGAAGGCAAAAUCCAAAGGAAAAAGGCAUCACUCAGCUCAUCCCAAGAUGCUGCUUCUUCUGACAACAAAGAGACAGAUAACGACCUUCAAGGAAGUGCCAUCAGCUCACCUAAACAUCCUUCAUUACUCAGCAAGAAGUUUGUCCAUCCUGAUGAUCCCAUCAACCAUCUAGACACUAUCACCGCUGGCCUGUUUGGGGAAAGUAGUCAAGGUAAACAAGUUAGAAAUGUUUCUCAGAGAAGUGGAAAUGCCGUGUCCCUCAUGGCUGAACCCUCCGGAGGAUGCAGUCCAGGUUGCCAAGGCAACGGACCUCAUGCAGCAAAAAAGGAAUGGCAGGCUAAUGAGUGCUCCUCUAAGGAAAAAUCUGUGGAUGGCUACCAAGAUGGAUUAAGAGUAAAAUGUGCAUUAGAGACCUGCGGCAGGGAUUCCUGUCGGGAGUCUAUCACAAAACGUGCUCUUCACAUCAGUAAAGACGGAAAUUUGACUAACACCCCUGAGCAAGAAAUAGCCCUGGAGGGCUGUCCAGAGGAGGAGAUUUCAAAUAGUGCCAUAGGGAGUCAAGAAACAGGAAAGAUAUCUCGGCAGAUCUCUGGGGUCCAAGGAAAAUGCAUGGAUGAACAAGAUGAGGAUAAGAAGCCCCGUAGACUGGCCUGUAUUGUCAGUCCUUUGUCACGAGAGGAUUUAUUGCACCAUCAUCUAAGUCAGGAUGACAUUCGUAGGAUGGAGCGCUUUGCAAACUACUCACCAGGGGAACCAAGCAAGGUUCUCUACCUUAAGAACCUGUCGACGAAAGUCACAGAGGCUGAUCUGGCAUCACUCUUUAUCAGUUUCCAGCAUCCUGACAAACCUAAGAUUAUCUUCAAACUUCUCAAAGGAAGGAUGAAAGGGCAAGCUUUUGUGACCUUUGCAGACACAGAAAUGGCAGUUGAAGCAAUGGCACAUGCCAAUGGUUAUCCCUUGAAAGGGAAACCAGUGAUCAUUCAGUUUGGAAAGCAGAGAUGACGGACGACAAGUGACAUCAUGAGAGUCUUCCCCCAAAAUGAAAUCUGUUGCUAGCUUUAGCUCAUCUCCCGCUGGUGUCUUCUUCAUCAAUAUCGCCAUCAUCAUCAGUAGAUGUGGCAUCAUCACUUUCGUCAACGUUAAGUCUUUAGUUCCAAGUCAACACGACAGUGCUCCAGGUCUACAGAUUAUUGGAAACAUUCUGACCCUUCUUCUCAUCAAUCAAGAAAUUGAAAAUUUAGCAAGAUCUCAAAUCCACGGAGAAUAUUCAUGAGAGCUUGUUGGAUCUGCAAGCGCCCUUCGCAAGGCCUACUGACUGAAUGUUAGAGUCGAUAGAGAAUCUACAAGUCUCCAGUGGGAAUGAAUACCAGGUUUAAGACCGACGACUUUGACGAUAAAUGAUUCAAUUUGAUCCUCCGUCCAGCAGCCCAUUGGCAAGCUGUCAUUUCUGUUGUUCCGCACUCGCGGCUAGUCGACGAUGCAUAAUGACUUCAGUGGCAGUCCCGGUGAGUAAAUAGUAGAAUCGAUGGAUCUCUACUGGAUUUCAGCUUAUCCUGUUCAAAUUGAAAAGGUAUAAAAUUUCAUUUCUUUUCGUGAUGACUUUAAAUACGCUCGACAUUUUUGGGAGAAAUUUUGAAAAGUUCCAAAAAUAUCAAAUCUAUUACUGAUGGAAAUUGUCCACUUCAAAUCGUUUAGAGAUUUGGCUACAUGCUAGGAACUUCACUUUUAGGAGUCGUAUUACAAGACGAAAUUUCUUUGAGCAAUUGGUAAAUACGGUUACAGAGGUAGGUCGUAUUGCAGACAAAAUACUCGACGCACGGUUGACGGACCAAUAAAACGCACGCACUAUUUUUACAAGACAUGGAACUAGGCAAAAAGUAGUCAGUGAGCUGUGCACAAUGACUUCAUCAAAUGUGCUUGCAGAGAUCGCGGAAGUUGAAACAUUGAAAAUGUCAGGCCAAAUGCUACAGGCUACUGUAAUCCAAGCGUAAUUUGACUUUUUCUUUCGCUCAUCGAAUAAAAGACAUUGCUUAAAGGAUGAAGUAUCCUUUGCUUUUCCUGGCACGCGCCAGAUGAAGUUCAGGAGAUGUUGUUCAUCGUGCUCAUGGGAUCCCUUACCAAGUCUCCAAAGACGACAUCCCCACGUCAACUAUCACCUCUUUACUUGAUUUGGCACGAUCUUAAUUAAACCCAACAUUCAGUGUCCAAUUUAUACUUGCUUGGGGCACACAAACGAAACAGGCAACGAGUUGACCAAACUCCACAGUAUAAUGAUGAAGUCACGUCUCGGAGCUGGUUCAGUGAUUCAAAUUGUACAUUUAAAUUAUUUCUGAGCUAAAAUCUUGAUAAUGGAAGGCGUUCUUCCAUUCUUAAAUACUCGCUAAGCCUUGUCUUCAGUGACUGGAAUUGGUUUAAGUGUCGUUUGUCUUGAUGAUGGAAAUUGAAUUGUAGAAUAUUCAUCAUCGUAUCUACAAUAAUGUGCGUCAUCGUUCAAGUAAAAAGAAAGUUGAUCUUGUACCUUAAAAUAAAAUUUUAAAUUUGCACAUUUGAAAAAGACAGCGUAAAAAAAUGCGUACUGUUUGAAGUACGGGAUAAAAGCUAAACAUGGACAAUAAAGUCGUACUCAAAUUACCCAUUACCAGAUUGCCUGGUUUGUUUGUACUAUUAUUUUUUCAUCGAAGUAAUUGAUGAUCUUAUGUGUAAUUAUCUUCCCAUUGUGUAAGAUCCAAGUUGAUCGCUCCACAAAUCAUUGAGACCGAAAUAUAAUAUUUGCUUGGUGUCCAUGAUUAGCAUCUCUUCCGCCUCGAGCCUCUGUGAGACGAAACGCCAACGAUAAAACAAGCUGUUGUGCGUGUUUAAGACUUGUCAUUCAGUAAGUGUUAUUCAUGCUCCAGUUCACACUCAUUAAAAAAACAACGGGAGAGGAAAAAGAUGUCUUGCCAGCGACACAGAGGAGUUACCGCAUUGUCAACUGACAGUAGCUUUGCCUCUCGAAGGGAGCAGAAAGUCGGAAUAAAUUAUUUGAAAUUGGAUUGCCACGUUAAGCAUGUUUACCUCAUCUUCACCUAUUUGACUCA
Acanthaster planci (crown-of-thorns starfish) is the source of this 3575-nucleotide unclassified non-coding RNA. The record is from RefSeq and is a predicted model, not a curated record. NCBI's taxonomy places the organism in Eukaryota, Metazoa, Echinodermata, Asteroidea, Valvatida, Acanthasteridae.